AGCCUUCCGAAAGGGAGAUUAAUACCUGAUGGUGUUCAAAUUCCGCAUGUUAUUUGAACUAAAGGUUUUCCGGCCGCGGAUGAGGAUGCGUAUGAUUAGGUAGUAGGCGGGGUAACGGCCCACCUAGCCUUCGAUCAUUAGGGGUUCUGAGAGGAAGGUCCCCCCACACUGGAACUGAGACACGGUCCAGACUCCUACGGGAGGCAGCAGUGAGGAAUAUUGGUCAAUGGGCGAGAGCCUGAACCAGCCAAGUAGCGUGAAGGAUGACUGCCCUAUGGGUUGUAAACUUCUUUUGUUCGGGAAUAAAGUGCAGUACGUGUACUGUUUUGUAUGUACCGUUCGAAUAAGCAUCGGCUAAUUCCGUG
Molecule: ribosomal RNA, 365 nt
Filed under: uncultured bacterium
Lineage: Bacteria
Description: bacterial SSU rRNA
Rfam family: Bacterial small subunit ribosomal RNA
Source: RNAcentral